Non-coding RNA from Cynocephalus volans (Philippine flying lemur), 74 nucleotides. The record is from the annotation of a RefSeq genome assembly. Lineage: Eukaryota; Metazoa; Chordata; Mammalia; Dermoptera; Cynocephalidae.
GGCCAGAUAGCUCAGUUGGUAGAGCAUGGUGCUGACGACGCCAAGGUCAAGGGUUUGGAUCCCUAUAUUGGCCA